UACGAGGGGGGCAAGCGUUGCUCGGAAUUAUUGGGCGUAAAGGGUAGGUAGGUGGUCUCAUUUGUCUGGGGUGAAAGCCUUGAGCUUAACUCAAGAAGUGCCCCGGAAACGGUGAGACUGGAGUCCUGGAGAGGGUCGUGGAAUUCCCGGUGUAGCGGUGAAAUGCGUAGAGAUCGGGAGGAACACCAGAGGCGAAGGCGGCGACCUGGACAGGCACUGACACUCAACUACGAAAGCGUGGGGAGCAAACAGG
Molecule: ribosomal RNA, 253 nt
Filed under: uncultured bacterium
Lineage: Bacteria
Description: partial 16S ribosomal RNA
Rfam family: Bacterial small subunit ribosomal RNA
Source: RNAcentral